RNAcentral lists this ribosomal RNA (427 nucleotides) under uncultured bacterium. RNAcentral describes it as "bacterial SSU rRNA". It matches the Rfam family "Bacterial small subunit ribosomal RNA", at positions 354 to 796 of the family's 1533-position model. The record is from RNAcentral.
GUGGGGAAUAUUGCGCAAUGGGCGAAAGCCUGACGCAGCGACGCCGCGUGUGGGAUGAAGGUCUUCGGAUUGUAAACCACUGUCGGGAGGGACGAAGCUCUGACGGUACCUCCAAAGGAAGCACCGGCUAACUCUGUGCCAGCAGCCGCGGUAAUACAGAGGGUGCAAGCGUUGUCCGGAAUCACUGGGCGUAAAGGGCGCGUAGGCGGCCCGGUAAGUAGGGGGUGAAAUUCUGCGGCUUAACCGCAGGACUGCCUCCUAAACUGCCAGGCUUGAGCACGGUAGAGGCUGGUGGAAUUCCCGGUGUAGCGGUGGAAUGCGUAGAGAUCGGGAAGAACAUCGGUGGCGAAGGCGGCCAGCUGGGCCGUUGCUGACGCUGAGGCGCGACAGCGUGGGGAGCAAACAGGAUUAGAAACCCCAGUAGUCC